AUUGAACGCUAGCGGGAUGCCUUACACAUGCAAGUCGAACGGCAGCGCGGACUUCGGUCCGGCGGCGAGUGGCGAACGGGUGAGUAAUGUAUCGGAAAGUGCCCAGUAGCGGGGGAUAACUACGCGAAAGAGUAGCCAAUACCGCAUACGCCCUACGGGGGAAAGGGGGGGAUCGCCAGACCUCCCACUAUUGGAGCGGCGGAUAGCGGAUUAGCUAGUUGGUGAGGUAAAGGCUCACCAAGGCGACGAGCCGUAGCUGGUUUGAGAGGACGACCAGCCACACUGGGACUGAGACACGGCCCAGACUCCUACGGGAGGCAGCAGUGGGUAAUUUUGGACAAUGGGGGAAACCCUGAUCCAGCCAUUCCGCGUGUGCGAUGAAGGCCUUCGGGUUGUAAAGCACUUUUGGCAGGAAAGAAAUCGCAUCAAUUAAUACUUGGUGUGGAUGACGGUACCUGCAGAAUAAGCACCGGCUAACUACGUGCCAGCAGCCGCCGCAG
This 500-nucleotide ribosomal RNA is filed under the name uncultured bacterium. RNAcentral's name for it is "partial 16S ribosomal RNA". It matches the Rfam family "Bacterial small subunit ribosomal RNA", at positions 29 to 523 of the family's 1533-position model. The record is from RNAcentral.